CGAGUNACCUNGCGAAGGGAUCAUUAUGAGUUUGAAGUGGGCUUGAUGCUGGCUUCCNUUUAUUGGGAAGCAUGUGCUCAGCCUUGCUCAAAUCCAUUUACACCUGUGCACUUUCAAAGUUGUAGUCCUCCGUCAUGGGAGCCGCACCGUCAAGGUUGCUGGGAUUACGCUUUGCCUUAAUCACAAACCAUGUAUAUUGUUUUGUAGAAUGUCUAUGCCUUUGUGGCAGAAAUCAAUACAACUUUCAACAACGGAUCUCUUGGCUCUCGCAUCGAUGAAGAACGCAGCGAAAUGCGAUAAGUAAUGUGAAUUGCAGAAUUCAGUGAAUCAUCGAAUCUUUGAACGCACCUUGCGCUUCUGGACACCGUCCAGGAGCAUGCCUGUUUGAGUGUCUUGAAAUCAUCAACCCUCUUUGCUUUUUGUAAAGGGUGGUUUGGACUUGGGGAUCUGCUGGCCUUAACAGGUUCUGGCUUCCCUUGAAUUCAUUAGCUGGACUUUAUUUGUGGCACAUAUGUGGUGUGAUAAUAUCUUCACUGCAUUGCCCAAGUGCAUGACUAGCUUCUAACUGUCUUCAUUGACAAUUUACUUGACNCAUCAGACCUCNAAUCCUUCGA
Molecule: ribosomal RNA, 614 nt
Rfam family: 5.8S ribosomal RNA (bases 240-394)